Rhinopithecus roxellana (golden snub-nosed monkey) is the source of this 1357-nucleotide long non-coding RNA. RefSeq lists it as uncharacterized. NCBI's taxonomy places the organism in Eukaryota, Metazoa, Chordata, Mammalia, Primates, Cercopithecidae. The record is from RefSeq and is a predicted model, not a curated record. The transcript has 3 exons.
AUUGCUGAUUUGGUAACCACUUCAGAGCAUAUCCUAUUUAUUCCCAGCAUGGACCUAAAUCCACUUCAGCCAAAAACGAACCAAGAAAUGAUGAAGAACAGAGCCUGUUUCUUUCUCAGUGGUGUAUUCAGAAAAUAGGAUGCAAGAGUAAAAGCUGAUCCUCGAGGCUUGUGAAAGUGGGGUUCUUUCUGAAAGUGCAGCCAGCAGCCAAGAGCCACCCUUCAGAAGAUAAAAAGAAGAGCAGCUGCAUGAGCGAUGGCCACAGCAACGCAUGGGUCCUGUCUGUCCACGUAGUCCUCUCCAUCUGCCUGUAGUUUGCCAGGUCUUCUACCCACACUGGGGAAAUUCCAGCUGCCAACCCUCUUUGGGCUGCACCUCCCCUUUUUGCACAGGGCUCUAUUGGGAAGGCAGCUGUCAUGUGUCUAUUUGAAAGACAAGAAACCAGUCUAGUUAUAGAAAAGAGAUUUAGAUUACAUCAGAAUAACAAUGCAAAUCAUUUGUGCAGUUCUUAGUACAGAAAACAGAUGUAGGAACAAAAAUUGGGAGAGUUAAAGAAAGUGGUUUUUUAUUCUGUCAUCAAAAUAGUUUUUUAAAAACAUGUCACAAAAAAGCACAUCUGUAGUAAGAUAAAUAAUUGUGUGCUGGCUUCAUAAACAGAAUGAAUGGUUGAAUUCACACAACGUUAUUUACUGUUUCAGGGCACACACACGUGGUUUCCAUGUGGUUUCUUGCCACUUUGGCCUUCAACUGGCCUUGAUAUUUUCCACUGAGGGUUGUCUGAUUGUCUCCUACCACAGCCCUGAGUCUAAGCAAAAGCCCAUGAGUUGGUUGACUGGUGUUCCUGUCGUACUUGGGAGUAGACAGACCGGCAGAUGUGGGGCUAGUGGGGAAGAUUCUCAUAAACACUUUAUUUGUUGUAAGAACUCCAAUUGGAAUGUGGCUUCCACUCAUGGGAGGAGGACUGCUUUAGAACAAGAAACUUUCUAUAAUAAUACCAAUAAAACCCAAGACUAUUAUUCUGAACAGAAACAAGAAAUACAGCUGGAGCUAUUUCCUAUCCACCUGAUGAAGGGCACUACCAGGCACUCACUCUGGCUCUGUCCACCGAUGCCUGUGCCCACUUUGUGUGACAUAGCUUCCAUGGAGACAAGAGCAAUGGUAAUGGAAGAAGAAAGUCUGGAUGUACUCGUGCAGAAAGACAAAGCUUCAUGGAACAAUAUUAAUCUUCCGGUCAUCUCUGUGCCCAUAAAGUUGUCAGACUGACUUUGGAUUUAAAGCCUGAAAAUGAGUCCCAAGGAAGUCCGUUGACAUGAGGCCCAAGGAAGACAGUUUUUGGAAGGGGCAAGACAGGAAAGAU